UACGUAGGGUGCAAGCGUUAAUCGGAAUUACUGGGCGUAAAGCGUGCGCAGGCGGUUAUGUAAGACAGUUGUGAAAUCCCCGGGCUCAACCUGGGAAUUGCAUCUGUGACUGCAUAGCUAGAGUACGGUAGAGGGGGAUGGAAUUCCGCGUGUAGCAGUGAAAUGCGUAGAUAUGCGGAGGAACACCGAUGGCGAAGGCAAUCCCCUGGACCUGUACUGACGCUCAUGCACGAAAGCGUGGGGAGCGAACAGG
RNAcentral lists this ribosomal RNA (253 nucleotides) under uncultured bacterium. Its description in RNAcentral is "partial 16S ribosomal RNA". It matches the Rfam family "Bacterial small subunit ribosomal RNA", at positions 524 to 776 of the family's 1533-position model. The record is from RNAcentral.